UCAGGACGAACGCUGGCGGCGUGCCUAACACAUGCAAGUCGAACGGACGAGGGAGCUUGCUCCCCAAGUAGUGGCGGACGGGUGAGUAACACGUGAGCAACCUGCCCUUCGGAGGGGGACAACAGUUGGAAACGACUGCUAAUACCGCAUAACGUAUUUUGGAGGCAUCUCCGGGAUACCAAAGAUUUAUCGCCGAAGGAUGGGCUCGCGUCUGAUUAGAUAGUUGGUGGGGCAACGGCCUACCAAGUCGACGAUCAGUAGCCGGACUGAGAGGUUGAACGGCCACAUUGGGACUGAGAUACGGCCCAGACUCCUACGGGAGGCAGCAGUGGGGAAUAUUGGGCAAUGGGGGGCAACCCUGACCCAGCAACGCCGCGUGGAGGAAGAAGGCUUUCGGGUUGUAAACUCCUUUGACGAGGGACGAAGAUGACGGUACCUCGAAAACAAGCCACGGCUAACUACGUGCCAGCCGCAGC
RNAcentral lists this ribosomal RNA (476 nucleotides) under uncultured bacterium. RNAcentral describes it as "bacterial SSU rRNA". It matches the Rfam family "Bacterial small subunit ribosomal RNA", at positions 24 to 518 of the family's 1533-position model. The record is from RNAcentral.